UGCCCNCUGAUGUUUAUUAAAGGGCUGCAGUAUUUUGACUGUACAAAGGUAGCAUAAUCAUUAGUCAUUUAAUUGAUGACUUGUAUGAAGGAUUGGAUGAAAUAUUAACUGUCUUAAGUAUAUAAAUUUAUAAUUUAAUUUUUUAGUUAAAAAGCUAAAAUAAUUUAAAAAGACGAGAAGACCCUAUAGAGUUUGAUAUAGCGAAGUAAUUAAUUUAUUUUGUAUAGUUUUUAGUAGAUUAUUUUAUUUAUAUUUUAUUGGGGUGAUAGAAAAAUUAAAAAAACUUUUUUUAAAAAUAUUAACAUAAAUAAGUGGUUAAAUGAUCCAAUAGAAUAUUGAUUAAAAGAAAAAAUUACCUUAGGGAUAACAGCGUUAUUUUUUUUUUUAGUUCAGAUAAAAAAAAAAGUUUGCGACCUCGAUGUUGGAUUAAGAUAAAAUUUGAAUGUAGAAGUUUAAAGUUUUGA
This 464-nucleotide ribosomal RNA is filed under the name Euproctis cf. putris T10. RNAcentral's name for it is "partial large subunit ribosomal RNA". The record is from RNAcentral. Lineage: Eukaryota; Metazoa; Arthropoda; Insecta; Lepidoptera; Erebidae.